UGCAGUUCGAGCGGACAGAUGGGAGCUUGCUCCCUGAUGUUAGCGGCGGACGGGUGAGUAACACGUGGGUAACCUGCCUGUAAGACUGGGAUAACUCCGGGAAACCGGGGCUAAUACCGGAUGGUUGUUUGAACCGCAUGGUUCAGACAUAAAAGGUGGCUUCGGCUACCACUUACAGAUGGACCCGCGGCGCAUUAGCUAGUUGGUGAGGUAACGGCUCACCAAGGCGACGAUGCGUAGCCGACCUGAGAGGGUGAUCGGCCACACUGGGACUGAGACACGGCCCAGACUCCUACGGGAGGCAGCAGUAGGGAAUCUUCCGCAAUGGACGAAAGUCUGACGGAGCAACGCCGCGUGAGUGAUGAAGGUUUUCGGAUCGUAAAGCUCUGUUGUUAGGGAAGAACAAGUGCCGUUCAAAUAGGGCGGCACCUUGACGGUACCUAACCAGAAAGCCACGGCUAACUACGUGCCAGCAGCCGCGGUAAUACGUAGGUGGCAAGCGUUGUCCGGAAUUAUUGGGCGUAAAGGGCUCGCAGGCGGUUUCUUAAGUCUGAUGUGAAAGCCCCCGGCUCAACCGGGGAGGGUCAUUGGAAACUGGGGAACUUGAGUGCAGAAGAGGAGAGUGGAAUUCCACGUGUAGCGGUGAAAUGCGUAGAGAUGUGGAGGAACACCAGUGGCGAAGGCGACUCUCUGGUCUGUAACUGACGCUGAGGAGCGAAAGCGUGGGGAGCGAACAGGAUUAGAUACCCUGGUAGUCCACGCCGUAAACGAUGAGUGCUAAGUGUUAGGGGGUUUCCGCCCCUUAGUGCUGCAGCUAACGCAUUAAGCACUCCGCCUGGGGAGUACGGUCGCAAGACUGAAACUCAAAGGAAUUGACGGGGGCCCGCACAAGCGGUGGAGCAUGUGGUUUAAUUCGAAGCAACGCGAAGAACCUUACCAGGUCUUGACAUCCUCUGACAAUCCUAGAGAUAGGACGUCCCCUUCGGGGGCAGAGUGACAGGUGGUGCAUGGUUGUCGUCAGCUCGUGUCGUGAGAUGUUGGGUUAAGUCCCGCAACGAGCGCAACCCUUGAUCUUAGUUGCCAGCAUUCAGUUGGGCACUCUAAGGUGACUGCCGGUGACAAACCGGAGGAAGGUGGGGAUGACGUCAAAUCAUCAUGCCCCUUAUGACCUGGGCUACACACGUGCUACAAUGGACAGAACAAAGGGCAGCGAAACCGCGAGGUUAAGCCAAUCCCACAAAUCUGUUCUCAGUUCGGA
This 1258-nucleotide ribosomal RNA is filed under the name Bacillus sp. (in: firmicutes). RNAcentral describes it as "bacterial SSU rRNA". It matches the Rfam family "Bacterial small subunit ribosomal RNA", at positions 56 to 1297 of the family's 1533-position model. Lineage: Bacteria; Bacillati; Bacillota; Bacilli; Caryophanales; Bacillaceae. The record is from RNAcentral.